UACGAAGGGGGGCUAGCGUUGCUCGGAAUCACUGGGCGUAAAGGGUGCGUAGGCGGGUCUUUAAGUCAGGGGUGAAAUCCUGGAGCUCAACUCCAGAACUGCCUUUGAUACUGAGGAUCUUGAGUUCGGGAGAGGUGAGUGGAACUGCGAGUGUAGAGGUGAAAUUCGUAGAUAUUCGCAAAGAACACCAGUGGCGGAAGGCGGCUCACUG
Molecule: ribosomal RNA, 211 nt
Filed under: uncultured bacterium
Lineage: Bacteria
Description: partial 16S ribosomal RNA
Rfam family: Bacterial small subunit ribosomal RNA
Source: RNAcentral